Molecule: small RNA, 334 nt
Filed under: Arabidopsis thaliana (thale cress)
Lineage: Eukaryota; Viridiplantae; Streptophyta; Magnoliopsida; Brassicales; Brassicaceae
Description: ATSL046100
Source: RNAcentral
AAUAAUAUAUAAUGACAAUUUUAACCUUUAUAUACACUUUAAAAAUAAUACUAAAUUUCUAUCUAAUUAUUUAAUAAGGGUAAAAUUAGAUAAACAGUUUUAAAAUUUGCAUUGGAAAUAUAAAAUUUCUAUUUUUAUGACACAAAUUAUUUUCUAAAAAAUUCAUCUUUGUGAGACGGAGAGAAUAUUAACCUAUUAGAAUUAUGAAUCGUUUAAUUAUAGAGAGAAUAAAGUGCUCUACAUACUAUAUUAUAGCACAUGUUUAGUGCUAUAUUGUAAAGCACUAAACCUUAUAGUGUUUAGUGCACAUGAAUACUAAACAUAUGCUAUAAUA